CUCAAAGAUUAAGCCAUGCCAAUGGGUUNUGUUAACCCGACAGUUUAAAUAAGUGUUAAAUGCUAUGUUAAAUUAAAAUACACACAAAUUAUUUUUUAUCUUACGUAGUAACAAAACUUCUAAAAAAUCAAUAUAUCUUUGAUUUUCGAAAGUGAUUUUAAUGUAUCACUUACGCAACUGCAGACAGCUGCUUAAUACAGUCACACUUGUCUUGACUUGGCGCAUAUAAAAUGUAUUUUUUUAUAAAAAAUACUUUUAUACUAACAACUAAAAUUUCAAAAAUACACACAAAAUAUUUUUGUUAAUUUUUAAAAUUGAUUUCUCUGUAACGUUAUUUCAUUAAAAAGAUAAAUUUACGUUACACCGUGAAAAAUUCUUUUUGGAUAACUCAGGGAAAGUUUGGCUAAUACGUACGAGUUAAAAAAACACAAAAUUUUUACACAAACAAAAUUUUAACUUUUAUAUAUAUAAGUUUUAAUUUUUAAAAUUAAAACAUCUUACUCAGCACAUAUUGGUAAAUUUUGGUUGAUAACUUUUUUAAAGUUGUUUAACCUAUUUAAAAUUUAACUGCAACAUGAGAGACAAUAUGUACGCACGUAAUUUCUUUACAAUUUCGGUUGUAAAAUUUUACACUUACGCUGAGCAGACUUUGCGAAGUUUACUUUGCGAAGCAGGUCAUACAAGCAUCUACAGCAUCAAGUCACGGGGUUGGCAAGUGUAUUUUUGAACCUUCAAAGCAGUCACGCAUACGGAAGAGUAGUUUCUGAUCCCAUAGAAGGAGCACCGUACAUUGAGAGACCGCUCUUAGUUCUAAGGAACGCAGCAGGCGCGUAAAUUGCCCAAUGCUAGUACCCUACAAUUUUAAUUAAUUUUAUAAUUUUAUAGCAUUAUAAUAAUAAAAAUGAACAAUUUACACACAUAUAAAAUUUAACACUUCAAAAUUUAUUCUGUAAAUUUAAUUUAUAUAUUAUCCUUGUUCACUUUUUUCAAUAUGUAAAUAAUUAAUUAUUUUUAAUUUUUACUGAGGCAGUGACAAGCUGUAACGGUUGAGUAUAAAAAUGACGAGUGUCUGGCAAUGCCGUCAACCUCGGUUGACCUGGCAGUUCGCCGACGCUUUGUGUGCUCAAUUGGAAUGCGGUGAGUUUAAGCAACUCAGAACCUUUGUCUGGUGGAAGUAACAUUUCACUUUUCAUGUAUCUGAAUUUCAAGUGGAGGGCAAGUCUGGUGCCAGCAGCCGCGGUAAUACCAGCUCCACUGGCCUAUACAAUCAUUGUGCCGGUUAAGAGGCUCGUAGUUGGAUUGAACUAUAUUAAAAUAUUUUUAAACAAAAUAAAUAUAGUAANNNNUUNUAAACAUAUUAUUAAAAAAAUCUUUUUUUUUAUNNNUGUUUCGACACUGUUUUAAAAAUCAAAUUUUUUGCAGUCAAUUAAUUUUACACACAUUUUAAUAAAACAAAAUAUAUUUGUUUUGUAGAUUUAUUUUCAACACUGUGAACAAAUCAGAGUGUAUCAAACAUGUCGUUUUUGAAUGUGCAUUGAAUGUCUUAUCAUGGAAUGUUGCACUUUUAAUUCAUUAAAAAUUUACUACGUAAAAAUUUUUUUAUAUUACNCACACACAAUAUAUAUAANUUUACNNNNAGGCNUGCUACUAAUUAUUUGCUGUAAAACNAUUUUUUAAUCAGUUUAAAAUGUCGAUGGGGAUAGUUGGAGUAGAGAGUACUGCUGGGCGAGAGGUGAAAUUUUUUCAUUGACCCUAGCAAGACUACCAAAAGCGAAAGCACUUUACUAGGCUAUACUCUUUGUGUGAUUUUUUUUAAAAAAACAAUUAUACACACACACAUAAUUUACUUUUAAAAAAUACACUUUACAAUGAAGAACGAAGGUUGGGGGAUCAAAGAGGAUCAGAUACCCUCGUCGUCCCAUUAAUUACAUCAAACGAUGGACUCUCAAUUGCAUUUAUUUAACUAAAUUUGCAAAAUGCCCUCAGCCUACAAAUUUAAAUAAUCUUUAGCUUGAGCUAGUAAUUUUAUUAUUACGCUCGCUAAUAAAUUUUUAAUAAUUUCGUACGGUCUUCUGAUGGACGUUUCUAAAAUUUAAAAAAAAUUUUUAAUAAUUUAUUUUGCGUGUAAGCAUUUUGGUAAUCAUUGAAACAUUAUGAUUUUAUCAUUGCGUGCACUUGAUUUUCGGAGCUUUGCGCUCAAUUAUUCUGGUGAGAUGUAAGCAGUGUGUGACUUUGUCCACUUAUAAUUAAUUAUCAUUAUAAAUUCAUUUUUAUAAUUUUUUAGUUGUAAGAUUGUGUACAAUUGUUACAAUAAUUUAUUAUUUAAACUGUGAAGCNCGCUUUAGGCACGCGCUUACUGCAGAAAUGUCUGAGACACUCUCCUCCGGGGGAAGUAUGUACGCAAGUAUGAAACUUGAAGGAAUUGACGGAAGGGCACCACAAGAACGCGUGGAGCAUGUGGCUUAAUUUGACUCAACGCGAGAAAUCUUACUGGGUCCGUACACACUGAGGAUUGACAGGCAAUAUUAAAAAAAUUGAAUAUAUUUAAUUAUAUAUUUUAAUUUUUUUAUGUUAAAUAUGCUAGUCCUUUCAUGAUUAUGUGAUAGGUGGUGCAUGGCCGUUCUUUAGUUCGUGGAGUGAUCUGUCUGCUUAAUUGCGUUUCACUAAGGGCUUAUAUUUAUAAUACGUGUGUUGACGGCACUUUGACCCCUUUAUGUUGCAUUGAAAUAUAUGUGAUAUAAAUGUGCGUGUCUUAGUAUUUAGCUUAGUCUCGCACAAAUGAGUCCUGAAAGCAACGAACGUGACCGCAACCUCUUGUUGCCUUUCAAUUACACAACAUUUUAACAUUUUAUAUGUUAUUAUGUUAAAAAAAGGCCUUUAAACUAGAGGGACCGCUGUAAUCUUUUUAAACCAGAGGAAGGUUGCGGCAAUAACAGGUCUGUGAUGCCCUUAGAUGUUCCGGGCUGCACACGUGCUACAAUGAUUAUUGCAGUGAGCAUCUCAUUUUUUACACACUGUAGUGCGAGUCCAUUUAUUGACUUAACAUUCACGUUAAUGUACUUUAAAUGUGUUACUUUGCGCACAGUAAANCCUGCUUCGAAAGUAAGNGGGNAAUCAAUUNGAAGUAAUGAUUUNCCGUAAAAUAUAAAUUUAUUUUAUAUUUAAUAGCACACAUAUAUACGGCAUCUUUACCCANCGCACAGCUNGUCUGUCGUUUNGUGUGUAUUGAUGUAACAAUUUUCCGUAUGUGCAAUUGUCAAUUCAUGGUGGGGACAGACCAUUGUUAAUUGUUGGUCUCGGUCUUAACUAGGAAUGCCUUGUACGGGUCUUUGGUUCAACAAACCACCCNGAAUACGUCCCUGCCCUUUGUACACACCGCCCGUCGCUCUUACCGAUGGACUUCUCUGUGAGUUUGAGGGACUGGGUUAAUUUAUUAAUAAUUAAAUUUAUUUAAUUUUAAUANNCUCUGGAAACUUAAACGAACAGUGUGGUCUAAAGGAAAGAGAAGUCGAACAAGGCA
RNAcentral lists this ribosomal RNA (3520 nucleotides) under Eggerella sp. 13132. RNAcentral describes it as "partial 18S ribosomal RNA". The stretch from base 386 to 3520 matches the Rfam family "Eukaryotic small subunit ribosomal RNA". The record is from RNAcentral. Lineage: Eukaryota; Foraminifera; Textulariida; Eggerellidae.